AGCCGACGCUGGGUGAGGAC
RNAcentral lists this unclassified non-coding RNA (20 nucleotides) under Mus musculus (house mouse). RNAcentral's name for it is "oocyte_clustered_small_RNA9091". The record is from RNAcentral. Lineage: Eukaryota; Metazoa; Chordata; Mammalia; Rodentia; Muridae.